This is a long non-coding RNA of Microtus oregoni (creeping vole), 305 nucleotides long. RefSeq lists it as uncharacterized. The record is from RefSeq and is a predicted model, not a curated record. NCBI's taxonomy places the organism in Eukaryota, Metazoa, Chordata, Mammalia, Rodentia, Cricetidae. The transcript has 3 exons.
AGAAGACAAAAAAAAAAAAAGCUUUAUUUAAAUCAUCCGUAGGUGCUACAAGAACUACCCAAAGGCUUCUGUUGAAAAUUGAAGAACAGAAGAAGAGAAAUACCCCGCCCUUCUCUGUUCAUUCCUUCAGUAUGUUCGUUAUAUUGUGCAAUGGCCAGACUCAGCACAAGGCCAACAAGAAAACCCAGGCCUUUCCACGUGGCUGUUGAAAUGUUCUCACGGGGAGGAGCUAGGACUCACGGAGAAUGGAUGGCUACAGUCAGUCCACCAAGAGACUCGGAGUCAACAGGAGGGACAAGCGCUGC